AUCACUUCUCGGCCUUUUGGCUAAGAUCAAGUGUGGUAUCCGU
Molecule: small nuclear RNA, 43 nt
Filed under: Cervus elaphus hippelaphus
Lineage: Eukaryota; Metazoa; Chordata; Mammalia; Artiodactyla; Cervidae
Rfam family: U2 spliceosomal RNA
About the family: U2 is a small nuclear RNA (snRNA) component of the spliceosome (involved in pre-mRNA splicing). Complementary binding between U2 snRNA (in an area lying towards the 5' end but 3' to hairpin I) and the branchpoint sequence (BPS) of the intron results the bulging out of an unpaired adenosine, on the BPS, which initiates a nucleophilic attack at the intronic 5' splice site, thus starting the first of two transesterification reactions that mediate splicing.
Source: RNAcentral